Molecule: non-coding RNA, 85 nt
Organism: Pelobates cultripes (western spadefoot toad)
Lineage: Eukaryota; Metazoa; Chordata; Amphibia; Anura; Pelobatidae
Source: the annotation of a GenBank genome assembly
CGGCACUCCAGAUGUUUUGGACUACACCUCCCAUGAUGCUUUGCCAGCAUUAUGGGGGAUGUAGUCCACAACAUCUGGAGUGCUG